This 89-nucleotide non-coding RNA is filed under the name Streptomyces niveus. The record is from RNAcentral. Lineage: Bacteria; Bacillati; Actinomycetota; Actinomycetes; Kitasatosporales; Streptomycetaceae.
GGAAGUCCGGUGGAAUUCCGGCACGGUCGCGCCACUGUAUGCCGAGCAGCCACCGCGUACGCGCGGCGAGGCGGCCCGGUGAGUCAGAC